Molecule: ribosomal RNA, 253 nt
Filed under: uncultured bacterium
Lineage: Bacteria
Description: partial 16S ribosomal RNA
Rfam family: Bacterial small subunit ribosomal RNA
Source: RNAcentral
UACGUAGGGUGCAAGCGUUGUCCGGAAUUAUUGGGCGUAAAGAGCUCGUAGGCGGUCUGUCGCGUCGGAUGUGAAAAUCCAGGGCUCAACCCUGGACCUGCAUUCGAUACGGGCAGACUAGAGUUCGGCAGGGGAGACUGGAAUUCCUGGUGUAGCGGUGAAAUGCGCAGAUAUCAGGAGGAACACCGGUGGCGAAGGCGGCAUCCUGGACCAACAUUGACGCUGAGGAGCGAAAGCCAGGGGAGCAAACGGG